UAAGACGAACCGUGCGAACGUUGUUCGGAAUCACUGGGCUUAAAGGGCGCGUAGGCGGGCUCACAAGUCAGGGGUGAAAGCCCACGGCUCAACCGUGGAAGUGCCUUUGAUACUGUGGGCCUCGAGGGAGGUAGGGGCGUGCGGAACUUCCGGUGGAGCGGUGAAAUGCGUAGAUAUCGGAAGGAACACCGGUGGCGAAAGCGGCGCGCUGGACCUCUACUGACGCUGAGGCGCGAAAGCCAGGGGAGCAAACGGGAUUAGAUACCCCGGUAGUCCUGGCCCUAAACGAUGGGUACUAGGUAGUGGACUUACAUGGGUUCACUGCCGAAGCAAAAGUGAUAAGUACCCCGCCUGGGGAGUAUGGUCGCAAGGCUG
RNAcentral lists this ribosomal RNA (375 nucleotides) under uncultured bacterium. RNAcentral's name for it is "bacterial SSU rRNA". It matches the Rfam family "Bacterial small subunit ribosomal RNA", at positions 521 to 896 of the family's 1533-position model. The record is from RNAcentral.